AAAACCCUGGGCGUGAUAGGUACUCUGCUGGGUAAGAGGAGACGCGUGCCCCCCGUCUACUCCUCCCGGUCGCGCCGACCUUUCCCGCGGAGCUCUGGACCUGCAUUCCUUUGAGUUUACCGCGGACUUAGGGCGGGAUCAAAGGGAAAGUGGCCUGCGCCUGUUUAAUCAAGGGUUUGUGGACCGAAACUAAGGCUGGGGGCUGCGGAGGGCACGCGAGUGAGCGGCCCGGGCGGAGGAAGGGCGGGUCCUGACUGCCGCGCCCUCCCUUCGUGCUCGGUGUCGAGGCCCCGAGCGCCCAGAGCGCCGCACUGAUCCGAGGUUCUGUCUGAGGGCGGGCUCGGGUCCGCCCUGGCUCAGGGAGACGAGGCCAGCCUUUCCACGGGAGGCUGCUUAGCGCUUGUGACCAUAUUUGGUCUGGCGAGGAGGCAUCUUGGCUUGCAGUUGUCUGCUAGAGCGCAGACGGUGCCCAGAAAGUGCCUCUGUCACUAGAGCUGCGGCUUCGCCAACGGGUGCGUUGUAAACAAACAACCUUGAAACCAUUCAUCAAACCUUAGUCUCCUAGCGUGACUCGGGUCACUAGAAAUUGAGAAGGAACCUGGCCAAAGCUGGGUACUGGAAAGGGAGAGCAAUCGCGCCUCCCCUUCCCCCGCGACAUCCGCGCGGGUUGUGGGAGGAUUGGAAUGUCCCUGACGCCCUCCAGAGAGCCUGGAGCCGGGAUGGAACCCGAGCAGGUGGCUGGGAGUAGAGAGGGUGCGCCAGUGACCCAGAAAAAACCACCCACCCUCCCACCGACUGGAUCUAGGAGAGGGGUGGAGACCCCCAGCCCCUAGAUCUAGCUUGGCGAGACAGCUGCGGGGAGUAGGAGGCGGCCUUGGCCUUCGGAGCAGCUCAAUUCCUUCUUCCCUUGUCCCCUCUCCACUGGGGGGAAAGGGAAAGCGGCUGCGAGUAGGCUCCACACCCAGCAUAGAACCCAACAUGGGGCUUAAACUCACAACCUUGAGAUCAAGAACUGAGCAGAAAUCAAGGGCUGGACGCUUAACUGACCAAGUCACCCAGGAGCCCCAGCCAACUCUUGAUCAGAAAGGAGCAAGGUCACAUGGUAAAAUGAUGAGGUGGGAUGAGAACUAUUGAUACAGCCAUCUUUGGAAAAUAUUACCUGCCAAGUUUCAGCCAAAUACUGCAAAGUACUUCACAAAUGUUUAACUCAGGAAUCCUCAGAACAACCAAGAAAGGAAGACUUUUGAAAGGAAGGAAGAAAACAGCUCUCAUCCUCAUGAUUCAGUGAGGAAUCUAAGGUCAGAAGAAAUGAAUCUAUACCUAGCUAAGUGACACCACUGGCAGGACUCUUGACAUGCAAAGACAGUCCUC
Long non-coding RNA from Ailuropoda melanoleuca (giant panda), 1371 nucleotides. RefSeq lists it as uncharacterized. The record is from RefSeq and is a predicted model, not a curated record. Lineage: Eukaryota; Metazoa; Chordata; Mammalia; Carnivora; Ursidae. The transcript has 3 exons.